This 1190-nucleotide long non-coding RNA is filed under the name Anas platyrhynchos platyrhynchos (common mallard). RNAcentral describes it as "lncRNA (ENSAPLG00000023540.1)". The record is from RNAcentral. Lineage: Eukaryota; Metazoa; Chordata; Aves; Anseriformes; Anatidae.
CGGCUCGUCCGGGAGCCGCCGCCGCAGGUGCCGGGCGGGCCGCGGGAGGCUCCGAGCGAGGGGGGGGGGCGGGAGGUUGGGAAGAAAAAAGAAAAAAAAAAGAAAAAAAAAAGAAAACAAAGUUUCCAGCUGAUGCUUUUGGGAGGAAAGGUGGAAAAGGCCCGCGCUGAGCCGGCAAGAAGCGGUAACCGCGGGAAGCCCCUUCCCCGCUACUCCCCGCUUCGCGAGCACGGCGCCGCCGCUCCCACGGUGGCGGCCGGGGGCUGCGGGGCCGGGCAGGGCAGGGCCGGGCAGGGCUGGGGGGCAGCCUCCAUCCCUGCCGGCCUCCCUCCGUGCCGGCCGCGGGCGGGGUGAGAGAAGGGUUAAGAAACUUGGCUGAAGAGAUGAAUGGCGCGGGAGGGGGGAGGAGGAGGAGGAGGAGCCGGGCUGCGCCGCGCCGGGCGAGGUGGAAGGCGGGGAGGAUCGCGGCUGCGGGUUAGGCUUUGAAAGUCAGCCUCGCAGGCAUUGCAGCAGGGCCCCGAACCGCGCAGGGGAGCGGCGCCGCGCCGGGCUCGGCUCGCCGCGUACGUGCGGGGGGUCGGGGGGCAGCGGGGCGGCGCGGCUCGGCUGGGCUCGGCUCGGCGCUGUCCCCGGCUCGGGGUCCCCGCGGAGCCAGGCUGGGCGCUGGGGGAGGCCGGGAGCCGCGGCCGUGCGGCGGAGGCGGGGGGGGGGGGGGGCCGGGGGGCAGCGCUCGGGAGGAGCCGCCGCGGGGCGGGAGGCGCUGCGUGUGCAAGGGGGGAGGGUGCUGGUGUCCGUCCGUCCGUCCGUCUGUCUGUCCGUCCGUCCGCGUGUCUGUCCGUGCAGCGCUGCCGGGCGGCGGCGGGGAGCGAACAAUGCCGGGGUGAGCCCGGCGAGGGGUGGCCGCGGCGGGGACGGCUUCCGGGGGGGGAUCCCCCCCGUACGGGGCCAGCUGGAAGUUUGGGGGGCUUGGGGGCGGCGUGGGAGCGAGGGGGGGACCCCGGCUUUUACAGCCCGAGCGCUGGCUGGGGGGAGACCUCCGGGGUCGAGGCCAGGGUCGGCGAAGCUCCGCCCGGGGCAGCGCCGAGGCCGGCUGCUGCCUCCCUUUCUCCCUCCCUUUCUCCCUCCCUCCCUCUCGGUCCCGCCGCCCCCCGCCCAGCCCCAGCCCCAGCCCCACCUGCGGGCGCCCCCCG